This is a long non-coding RNA of Lemur catta (Ring-tailed lemur), 1010 nucleotides long. RefSeq lists it as uncharacterized. The transcript has 6 exons. The record is from RefSeq and is a predicted model, not a curated record. NCBI's taxonomy places the organism in Eukaryota, Metazoa, Chordata, Mammalia, Primates, Lemuridae.
CUAUGCUUAAUUUUUCUCUUUUCCUUUUUGGACAGGCUUGCUCUGCUUCAGAAUGUUCAUGGCAUAAAAAAGACUGCUCUAGCCCUGGCUCUGUGUGACUUCUCAGCUCUAGAGCCCCAUACCAGGUGCAAAAACAAACUGCAACCACAAGAGCUAAACCUCUCUCUCUCUCUCCCCUAUUGUCCUCUUUGGCAAAGCUCUGUGGAAAGCUGAAUAAAUGAACAGGGCCAUUCGGCAGAGUGUAACCCAUACCAGCCCUAUUGUGCAAUGCCUUGAACAUUCACAGGGAGAUCAAGUGUCUUGCCCAAGAGCACACGGCUAGAGAGUGAAGUCAGGAUUUGACUCAGAGAGCUUGCCUCUGGAGCCUGGGUUGCUCUGAUGGUCCAGGUUUACCUUGCCAAUUGACAAAGGGAAUCCAGACCGGGAACUGCUUCUUUGCCCAGCCACCUGUAAAUAGACUUGAGAACAAUGUAAACCACCCUCUGCAGGAUAUUGAUUCUGAUGCAGCAAGUGUCGAUUAAGCAGAAUGGUGGCUUUUUUUAACUGGAGGAAUUCCAGAUCUUUCCUCAGGCCUGCCUCUCCGGGGAAAUGAGCUCUAUCCUCAAAAAUCUACAGAAAACCUGAAUUCCCGUUGCUUCAUGUUUAAUCUUCUGAGACCACUCAUUAGACCACACAAAUUGCAACAAUUGUCUCCAGCACACAGACACUGUUCCAGACCCCUGAUGUGCCCAGGAGAAAGACUGUAUCUCUCUGAAACGCUCUGGUGCGGGCUCUGAUGUGGAAUCCCCUGGAAUCCUCCUACCAGAGGCAUAGAGACCAAUUGGAAAAAGACUCAGCUGUCUGACAGCAGCAUGGCCCAGCAAAGGCACGCCUUGGAGAAGAAAAGAGGGGUACAGCAACACCUGAGUUUAAUCAUGUGGCUUUGGAGAAACCCCAAAGAGGUUAUACAGUUAUACAGUCAUACAGUUAUUGGGCUGAUUUUUACUUUCAGUCUGUUCUAAUUAUCUUUA